GGGUGAUUAGCUCAGUUGGUAGAGCAGCUGACUCUUAAUCAGCGGGUCGUAGGUUAGAGCCCUACAUCACCCACCA
This 76-nucleotide transfer RNA is filed under the name Hyphomicrobium sp. RNAcentral's name for it is "tRNA-Lys". It matches the Rfam family "tRNA". Rfam says of the family: Transfer RNA (tRNA) molecules are approximately 80 nucleotides in length. Their secondary structure includes four short double-helical elements and three loops (D, anti-codon, and T loops). The record is from RNAcentral. Lineage: Bacteria; Pseudomonadati; Pseudomonadota; Alphaproteobacteria; Hyphomicrobiales; Hyphomicrobiaceae.